This is a long non-coding RNA of Quercus robur (English oak), 445 nucleotides long. RefSeq lists it as uncharacterized. The transcript has 2 exons. NCBI's taxonomy places the organism in Eukaryota, Viridiplantae, Streptophyta, Magnoliopsida, Fagales, Fagaceae. The record is from RefSeq and is a predicted model, not a curated record.
UCACUUGAUGUUUGUUUGAUUAUGGAAUCAAUAUGUAUGUGAUGAAUUGACUUUCAAUUUUUUUUUUUUUUUUUUUUUGGUUGUGGCAGAUUUUUUCUACUUCAAGGUUGGAUAUACCCAGUGCUUGGCAAUUGCCGCAGAAACUUGAGGGCACCCAUAAUUGCUGAAAUGUUCAAUUGUACUAGCUGAUAACUUCUUGCUUUGGAGAUGAUGAUGAAGAAUAAAAUGUAUCAAAACUUUUAACUCUUGGACAGAUUUGGUCUUUGUACAAAUUGUGGUUGUUGAUAUCUUUUUCUCUUAAACGGUAAUUGACAUAUCAGCAGUUUGUAUGCAGUCUAUAAUCUGUUAAUUUGUAGAUUUGAGUUUAGAGGUCAAAGAAAGUGUAAUUGUAGCAAUAUACCACUUUUGCUAUACAUUAAUAUCAUAGCAUAUCAUAUCAACAAUU